GAUGAACGCUGGCGGCGUGCCUAAUACAUGCAAGUCGAGCGAACGGACGAGAAGCUUGCUUCUCUGAUGUUAGCGGCGGACGGGUGAGUAACACGUGGAUAACCUACCUAUAAGACUGGGAUAACUUCGGGAAACCGGCGCUAAUACCGUAUAAUAUUUUGAACCGCAUGGUUCAAAAGUGAAAGACGGUCUUGCUGUCACUUAUAGAUGGAUCCGCGCUGCAUUAGCUAGUUGGUAAGGUAACGGCUUACCAAGGCAACGAUGCAUAGCCGACCUGAGAGGGUGAUCGGCCACACUGGAACUGAGACACGGUCCAGACUCCUACGGGAGGCAGCAGUAGGGAAUCUUCCGCAAUGGGCGAAAGCCUGACGGAGCAACGCCGCGUGAGUGAUGAAGGUCUUCGGAUCGUAAAACUCUGUUAUUAGGGAAGAACAUAUGUGUAAGUAACUGUGCACAUCUUGACGGUACCUAAUCAGAAAGCCACGGCUAACUACGUG
Molecule: ribosomal RNA, 497 nt
Filed under: uncultured bacterium
Lineage: Bacteria
Description: partial 16S ribosomal RNA
Rfam family: Bacterial small subunit ribosomal RNA
Source: RNAcentral